UCAAAGGAAUUGACGGGGACCCGCACAAGCAGCGGAGCGUGUGGUUUAAUUCGUUGCUACACGAAGAACCUUACCUGGGUUUGACAUAUAGGUUGUAGGGAACUGAAAAGGGACGACCCUUCGGGGAGCCUAUACAGGUGUUGCAUGGCUGUCGUCAGCUCGUGUCGUGAGAUGUUCGGUUAAGUCCGCUAACGAGCGCAACCCUCGUCGUAUGUUAUAUGUGUCAUACGAGACUGCCGGUAAAAAGCCGGAGGAAGGUGAGGAUGAUGUCAAGUCAGCAUGACCUUUAUAUCCAGGGCUACACACACGCUACAAUGGUCUGUACAAUGGGUAGCCAAGCCGCGAGGUGGAGCCAAUCCUCAAAGCUGGCCUCAGUUCAGAUCGCAGGCUGCAACCCGCCUGCGUGAAGCCGGAGUUGCUAGUAACCGCAGGUCAGCUAUACUGCGGUGAAUACGUUCCCGGGGCUU
This 467-nucleotide ribosomal RNA is filed under the name uncultured Anaerolineaceae bacterium. RNAcentral's name for it is "bacterial SSU rRNA". It matches the Rfam family "Bacterial small subunit ribosomal RNA", at positions 901 to 1382 of the family's 1533-position model. The record is from RNAcentral. Lineage: Bacteria; Bacillati; Chloroflexota; Anaerolineae; Anaerolineales; Anaerolineaceae.